Telopea speciosissima is the source of this 152-nucleotide long non-coding RNA. RefSeq lists it as uncharacterized. The record is from RefSeq and is a predicted model, not a curated record. Lineage: Eukaryota; Viridiplantae; Streptophyta; Magnoliopsida; Proteales; Proteaceae. The transcript has 3 exons.
CACGGAACUGAUUAGGAUUUCCAUGAUUCCUACCAGGCAGAACAAGAGAAGCUCCAGCAACAGAUUUCAUCAGUUAGGAGUUCUCUUUCCUCCCCGUUCAGAUUGAUCAUGAUCUCAAGGUGAAGAUCACUAAGGUCUGUGCUUAACUGAAU